GGCUCGAUGGUGUAGUGGUAGCACGCACCCACGGUAUGGGUGAAACGCGUGUUCAACUCUCGUUUGAUGCCG
This is a non-coding RNA of Parelaphostrongylus tenuis, 72 nucleotides long. The record is from the annotation of a GenBank genome assembly. Lineage: Eukaryota; Metazoa; Nematoda; Chromadorea; Rhabditida; Metastrongylidae.